This 253-nucleotide ribosomal RNA is filed under the name uncultured bacterium. Its description in RNAcentral is "partial 16S ribosomal RNA". It matches the Rfam family "Bacterial small subunit ribosomal RNA", at positions 524 to 776 of the family's 1533-position model. The record is from RNAcentral.
UACGUAGGGGGCAAGCGUUGUCCGGAUUUAUUGGGCGUAAAGAGCGUGUAGGCGGCCUGAAAGGUCAGCUGUGAAAACUCGAGGCUCAACCUCGAGACGUCGGUUGAAACCAUCUGGCUAGAGUCCGGAAGAGGAGAGUGGAAUUCCCGGUGUAGCGGUGAAAUGCGCAGAUAUCGGGAAGAACACCCGUGGCGAAGGCGGCUCUCUGGGACGGUACCGACGCUGAGACGCGAAAGCGUGGGGAGCGAACAGG